GUGAACGCUGGCGGUAGGCCUAACACAUGCAAGUCGAACGGCAGCACAGAGGAGCUUGCUCCUUGGGUGGCGAGUGGCGGACGGGUGAGGAAUACAUCGGAAUCUACUCUGUCGUGGGGGAUAACGUAGGGAAACUUACGCUAAUACCGCACACGACCUACGGGUGAAAGCAGGGGAUCUUCGGACCUUGCGCGAUUGAAUGAGCCGAUGUCGGAUUAGCUAGUUGGCGGGGUAAAGGCCCACCAAGG
Molecule: ribosomal RNA, 248 nt
Filed under: uncultured bacterium
Lineage: Bacteria
Description: partial 16S ribosomal RNA
Rfam family: Bacterial small subunit ribosomal RNA
Source: RNAcentral